Long non-coding RNA from Phycodurus eques (leafy seadragon), 781 nucleotides. RefSeq lists it as uncharacterized. The transcript is spliced from 2 exons. NCBI's taxonomy places the organism in Eukaryota, Metazoa, Chordata, Actinopteri, Syngnathiformes, Syngnathidae. The record is from RefSeq and is a predicted model, not a curated record.
AGGAAGUCAGGCAAGUCAGGUGUCGGGAGACUGACAGCAGAAAGGGUGACCUUGGAGCAGACCUUCUCAGCCUCCUGUACAAGAACAGAAAUAGUGUACAUUAUAGGCAUGGAGUGGAUAACAAAAAAAAAAAAAAAAGACCCAACGCAUCCUGCCUACACUUCCUCACACAUUUUUUUCACUGCACAUGCCAGCUGCUGAACACUAGUCCUCCUCAGGAGAUCGCAUGUCCUGUUCUCCACCUGGUCAAAGCGCCGUAUUCUUCCUUCCUGGCUUCCUCCUCGGGAUUGCUUCAAGGUCGUGACCGCCUUUGCUGUCUGCUUCCCCCCAAAGCCUGACGGACUCCUUUGGAUCUGGCUGCCUCCACCAUGUCUUCAUCUUCACUGCCCUGUUGACCCCCCACGCCGACAUUCCAAUCCAGGUCAUUGCGACUGUGAGCCCUAAAUAUCUGAACUAACACACACAAAAGGACCUCUUUUGUACCUUUUUACUCAUGUCAGCUUCUUAGAGGAGCUCGUGUCCAACGUGUGCUGUCCCAAAUGUGAGAAUAGAGAGAGCAUGUCACCGAUGAAGACUUCAAUGCUUUUUGUUGUUCUGUGGCCAUUUUGGAAGAGGUGCCUUGAAACGAACAUGAGGGCCCUCCAGCUUUUUUUGCUUGAGUUUGCCACCAUCUUCAUAUUACCUCAUUUCAAUCCAACAUAGUGAAGAAAAAAAAAAAAAAUCAAUCUAUGCAGACGUCAGUGUUGCAUGAAAGAAUUUAAUUCACGCUCUGUGUUCAAAU